RNAcentral lists this microRNA precursor (59 nucleotides) under Branchiostoma floridae (Florida lancelet). RNAcentral's name for it is "Bfl-Mir-4872-P32_pre stem-loop". It matches the Rfam family "mir-4872 microRNA precursor family", at positions 11 to 69 of the family's 76-position model. Lineage: Eukaryota; Metazoa; Chordata; Leptocardii; Amphioxiformes; Branchiostomatidae. The record is from RNAcentral.
UGCCGGGAUAACUAAAACUCUGAGUUCUGUUUACUUCAGAGUUUUGGUACCCCGGCUCC